Molecule: ribosomal RNA, 491 nt
Filed under: uncultured bacterium
Lineage: Bacteria
Description: partial 16S ribosomal RNA
Rfam family: Bacterial small subunit ribosomal RNA
Source: RNAcentral
AGUGAACGCUGGCGGUAGGCCUAACACAUGCAAGUCGAACGGCAGCACAGUAAGAGCUUGCUCUUACGGGUGGCGAGUGGCGGACGGGUGAGGAAUACAUCGGAAUCUACUUUUUCGUGGGGGAUAACGUAGGGAAACUUACGCUAAUACCGCAUACGACCUACGGGUGAAAGCAGGGGAUCUUCGGACCUUGCGCGAUUGAAUGAGCCGAUGUCGGAUUAGCUAGUUGGCGGGGUAAAGGCCCACCAAGGCGACGAUCCGUAGCUGGUCUGAGAGGAUGUUCAGCCACACUGAAACUGAGACACGGUCCAGACUCCUACGGGAGGCAGCAGUGGGAAAUAUUGGACAAUGGGCGCAAGCCUGAUCCAGCCAUACCGCGUGGGUGAAGGAGGCCUUCGGGUUGUAAAGCCCUUUUGUUGGGAAAGAAAAGCAGCAGGUUAAUACCCCGCUGUUCUGACGGUACCCAAAGAAUAAGCACCGGCUAACUUCGU